GUCCAUGCCGUAAACGUUGGGCACUAGGUGUGGGGACGAUUCCACGUUUUCCGUCGCCGUAGCUAACGCAUUAAGUGCCCCGCCCUGGGGAGGUACGGCCGCAAGGCUAAAACUACAAAGGAAUUGACGGGGGCCCGGCCACAAGACGGCGGAGCAUGCGGAUUAAUUCGAUGCAACGCGAAGAACCUUACCAAGGCUUGACAUGGACUGGAAAUAACCUGGAGACAGGUGCCCCGCCUUGCGGUCGGUUCACAGGUGGUGCAUGGUUGUCGU
RNAcentral lists this ribosomal RNA (273 nucleotides) under uncultured bacterium. RNAcentral's name for it is "partial 16S ribosomal RNA". It matches the Rfam family "Bacterial small subunit ribosomal RNA", at positions 793 to 1055 of the family's 1533-position model. The record is from RNAcentral.